GCCCUUCAAAAAUUUUAUUCUUUUUCUUCUUCUUCCUUCGAUCGACCGAAGGAAGAAAUUCCAAUAGAGAGAGAGUGGGAUGUCGGGGAGAGAGAGAGAGAGCAAUUAUGAGGAAAAUCACCGGAUCACUGCAGGUGGCUGUGAGAGACGUGACCUUCAAUGGUCGUGCGACGCAAGGAAGCCGAAAACAGCCUGGGUCCUGACAAUUUCCAUCCGGGUUCCACACAACUCGACUUCGAAAAAUCGAUGAAAUUUUUCCUCCGGAACCCAAGAUCUAUCAUUCACUUCGAUUCUUCUAGCCAACUAACGUAUCUUGGCAUGUUCAGAUUUAAAAAAUCAUCACCAGAGACGCCAAAUUUUCGAGUGACCCGUCAACCCAGUUCCACUGGUAUCAUGAUAGGACCCUCUACUUUCCUUUUGAUUUUUUUUUUUUUUUUUAAAUUCUGGUUCGAUUUUAAGCUAAAACUUGAACCUCAAUGUAGUUUAAAACUUUAAUCAGUUAAAAUUCACUCAAAAUCUCGAAUUUGUCACUGAUCCGAGAGAUCUAGAAAUGUUGGCAAGUUCUGAAACAACUUUGGAGCCACUAACUAAUUCCUUUUGCGAAGGAGAUUGUCAGUAUACAUAGUAGUGACCCUUAGACCUCAUUCGCAUGUUUUCAACUCGUCAUUUAACCCUCUUAAAUUUUGGUUUGAACAGGUUAAAAGGAGGUUGGUAAUCAUGCUAAAAUGGGUUCUGGGUAACCUUUCCAAGAGGCCAAAACCACCGCGAAAGACCUACAAGUGUCGGAAAAAUUAAUUUUGUUGAUUUUCCUUACAUUUGUUUGCUGCCUGGUUGAAAUCUUGCAUGUGCUUUCUCUGUUUAAGCAUGUUGGUGAUGUUUGGUGAAUACUUGGGUGGUUUUGAUGCAAUAAUUAAUCGGAAAUGCAUGAAUUAAAUUUAUGAGUAAAUUAAAAAUUUAAUGAAUAAUAAUUUGAUGAAUAGAAAUGUAUAAAAUUGAUGCUUGCUGAUUAGAAUGCAGGAAAUUAAUUUUGUAAGAUUGUUGGACAACUUAAAGUAACGAAAUUAACAA
This 1068-nucleotide long non-coding RNA is filed under the name Carica papaya (papaya). RNAcentral's name for it is "long non-coding RNA (CPAP_LNC003423)". The record is from RNAcentral. Lineage: Eukaryota; Viridiplantae; Streptophyta; Magnoliopsida; Brassicales; Caricaceae.